UGGUCCACUACAUCUUUGUCUCAGAGUUGAUUUUAAUGGACUGUGGUUUAAAGAUGUCCCGACAGAAGCAUAUCUAAUGCGUCUUAAACUCCCAAAAAUGCAGGGCCGGGCCAUAUAUGAAUAGUGGGAAGAAGUCCAGCUUUAUUUACAGUCUGUGUUUUAAUCACGUAGGAGAAGCUACUGUUGGCUUCAGACACAUGGUUCCUGCUUUCUACAUAUUUUUAUGAAUAUUAUAUUCCCUCUCUGCAGCUGGAGCCACUCUGGAAUUUUAAAUUCAAAACUAUUUAAUCAUAGAAGAAGAAGAACAAAAAUGAAAGUAACUUUAAUAUCCAUGUUUUGCUGUUUGAUAGUCUUCUGCACUCACUGCUGCAGUGGUUUGAUAUCCAGCUCAAAUUUUUUGACAGAGAACCAAACACAGCUGUCGAAGAUUCAGCUCCAGCAUUAAUUAAAACACUCAGACUGCAGUUAAUCUUGUUUUUAAAUGGCUGUAAUUAAACAGUCAUCAUGACAUUUUAUCGCUUUACUCACAGUUUUCCGCCGCACUCCCGCUUUAAAUGGCCUGUGUGUUUGUGUGUGUGUGUUUUGAUUAUAACGAUUUUGAUAUUUCAUACCUCUGGAGAGUCAACUUCGGUGGGUUCCCCGCGGUGCCUUCUGCUUCUCAGAUCUCACACUCCAUGUGGGAGACGACAGAGCCGUCACAUAUUAUAUUUGUAAUUAUCAGUAGGAGGUUAAUGGGAACGUUUUUCGCAGUCUGCGGAUUGUGUUUGCAGAAAAUUUGAUCUGACAUCAAGGCAGCAUCAGCGUAUCUGAGCCGUCUGGUUGCCAGUUAGCCCACGUGGGUUAAAGUAGCAUAUCUAAUACCAGAAAUUACACAGGCCUCAAGCAAAGCAUGGUGAAGAAAUGGGACACAAGCAGUGUCUGCAUUUAAACAUAGAAACUACUUAACCUUUCACUCAACUUAUUAAUGUUUGCUAAUAGCAAGCCGCGUAGUAAAUAAUUGUAUUUUGAGAAUCAGGGGGUCAGUUUUCCCUCAAUUAGAAUGAAUAUAUGACGAUUGAUGGAGUGUGAUCAUAUGUAGAAAUAUUCUGCAUUCAUUUUCAAGGCUUUAUUCACAUCCAUUGCUGCAGGUGAACUCUACUAUGAUCCUGUUCAUUGAAAAAUACCAGUUUCAAAUGAGAUUUACAUGAUUUUUAUUUCAAAUUUAGGCCUUUUCCCUCGUUUUUCACCAUUUAAGGUUUAUCACUGGACUUGGACUGCUGAACAUUUUGAUAAACACUUGAAAAAUGUUGUAAAACUUUUGAUUGAUAGAGCACAUGACACUUACCUAGUGGCCAUAAAGCUUCAUGAAUAUGAGGCUAGUUGCCAUGGUUCCUCCAGGCGCUGAAGUAACUCGGUGCACAAGGCUGCCAUCUGCUGGUGGAGAUACACACAUCACCUUAGUGCUGAGGCUGUCCUUUCUUUUGUGUGUGUGUGUGUGUGUGUGUGUGUGUGUGUGUGUGUGUGUGUGUGUGUGUGUGUGUGUGUGUGUGUGUGUGUGUGUGUGUGUGUGUGUGUGUGUGUGUGUGUGUGUGUGUGUGUGUGUGUGUGUGUUCUGGUAAUCAUCACGCGAUGGGGACCGUUGACUGUUUACACAGUCACGUCAUGGGGACCGGUUGCGCUUUGGGGACCAAAAUCCCGGUCCCCAUGAGGAUAACCCUUUUAAAUGACUACUAGAGCUACACUGAAGGUGCCCGUGAAGUUUUAAGCAUUGGCCCAUACGACAUGUUUUUUGGUGAGUGUGAGUGUGUGAGCAUUGCUCAUUGGUGGCCCUACUGUUUCUAGUUAGUACUGCACCCACUGCUUCACACACACACAUCUUCCAAAUAUGGUUGGGUGCCACCCACUUCCUUGUCCCCAUUAGGAAUGAUUCAAGCAGCGAGGACAUUUUCAGCAUCAAGAGGUAGCUAUCAACAGUAAAAGAAGAUUAUUUGCUGGAGAAACUAGCUAAGAAGAUAAGAACAUGUGCAGAGGAGCAAAAGUAAAGCAUAAGAAAUGCCACCACGGAUCAGCAAUUCAACAUGAUACACAUCUGCAAAUUAGAGGUCCAGUAUAUUUAUGCAGCAAAAGUAUUGAUGCCUUCAGAGAAGAUGGCUCAAUUGGGUGACAAGUUAAUGAGGAACACAGACGUCCUUACUCCAAAAUGAAAAAAAUUGGUGUUAAUGGAGAACCCCACCUUUGUUUAUUUGCCCUGGAUGACAUCAAAGAAGGAGAAGAAAUCGCCUAUAACUAUGGAGGUGAAGACUGCCCAUGGCAAACACAGACGACCAGCAUCACUGUUAACACCAUGGAGGAGGAUGAUUCAGAUCCUGUCCACUCAGAGAGUCUGAUGGCUUGUGCCUUUGGGCCAAAGACCACACCUGAAGAGGUACAACUGCACAAAAGAAGAAAACACCCUGGAAGGAGACAGACGUGAAGGCAGUGGAAAGGCACAUGAAUCGAUUCAUCACAUCUUGUAUUGCUCCAGCAAAGUUUGACUGUGAGAAGUGUUUAAGGGCUGAUCCAGAAGCUCUUAAGGACCGGAGCUGGCAGAAUGUGAAAUUCUACAUAUAUAACCGCAUUACAGCCAACAAGAGGAAAUUAAGUAAAUAAUGGGAAGAUUACCACCAGUAAGCGGUUGCUAUGUGGUGGUCUGAAAUUAAAAAUAUCUUACAAAUUUGACUGAAUAAGAAUUAUUCUUUGUAGGGAUAUAGAUAGCCCGUCACUGUUUGAUAAGUUUAUAUUCACUUCAACCACAUUACACUAAUAGUCCUAUCAAAUUCUGCUUCAUUGUAAGGCGGAGUUCAUGAACAGCAAGAUUUUCUGUACAAAGUAAUGCUUUGCAUCCCUAUCACCAUUUACAGGUAUCAUGUUAUAUCUCUACAUUUUCUAUCAACAACUUUUGUUCUUUUUGGCUAGACUUUAUUAGUUUUAAACAAACAGCUCUAACAAAUGUAAUAAUGGAAGACUUACGGUAUCAGUAAUAAUGUAUAUAAAAAUGCUUUUUGAAGCAUGGUCCCCAUUAGUCUUAUAACAAGUUGUGUGAGUCAUGCAAAUGAUAUGUAAAUGAGGUCCCCAUCAGCCAUACC
This is a long non-coding RNA of Platichthys flesus (European flounder), 3104 nucleotides long. RefSeq lists it as uncharacterized. The transcript has 5 exons. The record is from RefSeq and is a predicted model, not a curated record. NCBI's taxonomy places the organism in Eukaryota, Metazoa, Chordata, Actinopteri, Pleuronectiformes, Pleuronectidae.